RNAcentral lists this ribosomal RNA (613 nucleotides) under Candida tropicalis. Its description in RNAcentral is "eukaryotic LSU rRNA". It matches the Rfam family "Eukaryotic large subunit ribosomal RNA", at positions 37 to 665 of the family's 3401-position model. The record is from RNAcentral. Lineage: Eukaryota; Fungi; Ascomycota; Pichiomycetes; Serinales; Debaryomycetaceae.
UGCAUAUCAAAUAAGCGGAGGAAAAGAAACCAACAGGGAUUGCCUUAGUAGCGGCGAGUGAAGCGGCAAAAGCUCAAAUUUGAAAUCUGGCUCUUUCAGAGUCCGAGUUGUAAUUUGAAGAAGGUAUCUUUGGGUCUGGCUCUUGUCUAUGUUUCUUGGAACAGAACGUCACAGAGGGUGAGAAUCCCGUGCGAUGAGAUGAUCCAGGCCUAUGUAAAGUUCCUUCGAAGAGUCGAGUUGUUUGGGAAUGCAGCUCUAAGUGGGUGGUAAAUUCCAUCUAAAGCUAAAUAUUGGCGAGAGACCGAUAGCGAACAAGUACAGUGAUGGAAAGAUGAAAAGAACUUUGAAAAGAGAGUGAAAAAGUACGUGAAAUUGUUGAAAGGGAAGGGCUUGAGAUCAGACUUGGUAUUUUGUAUGUUACUUCUUCGGGGGUGGCCUCUACAGUUUAUCGGGCCAGCAUCAGUUUGGGCGGUAGGAGAAUUGCGUUGGAAUGUGGCACGGCUUCGGUUGUGUGUUAUAGCCUUCGUCGAUACUGCCAGCCUAGACUGAGGACUGCGGUUUAUACCUAGGAUGUUGGCAUAAUGAUCUUAAGUCGCCCGUCUUGAAACACGGA